GGAAGAAGCGAAAGUGACGGUACCUGCAGAAGAAGCGCCGGCUAACUACGUGCCAGCAGCCGCGGUAAUACGUAGGGCGCAAGCGUUAUCCGGAAUUAUUGGGCGUAAAGAGCUCGUAGGCGGUUUGUCGCGUCUGCCGUGAAAGUCCGGGGCUCAACUCCGGAUCUGCGGUGGGUACGGGCAGACUAGAGUGAUGUAGGGGAGACUGGAAUUCCUGGUGUAGCGGUGAAAUGCGCAGAUAUCAGGAGGAACACCGAUGGCGAAGGCAGGUCUCUGGGCAUUAACUGACGCUGAGGAGCGAAAGCAUGGGGAGCGAACAGGAUUAGAUACCCUGGUAGUCCAUGCCGUAAACGUUGGGCACUAGGUGUGGGGGACAUUCCACGUUUUCCGCGCCGUAGCUAACGCAUUAAGUGCCCCGCCUGGGGAGUACGGCCGCAAGGCUAAAACUCAAAGGAAUUGACGGGGGCCCGCACAAGCGGCGGAGCAUGCGGAUUAAUUCGAUGCAACGCGAAGAACCUUACCAAGGCUUGACAUGAACCGGUAAUACCUGGAAACAGGUGCCCCGCUUGCGGUCGGUUUACAGGUGGUGCAUGGUUGUCGUCAGCU
RNAcentral lists this ribosomal RNA (606 nucleotides) under Pseudarthrobacter scleromae. Its description in RNAcentral is "bacterial SSU rRNA". It matches the Rfam family "Bacterial small subunit ribosomal RNA", at positions 443 to 1060 of the family's 1533-position model. The record is from RNAcentral. Lineage: Bacteria; Bacillati; Actinomycetota; Actinomycetes; Micrococcales; Micrococcaceae.